Molecule: long non-coding RNA, 256 nt
Filed under: Homo sapiens (human)
Lineage: Eukaryota; Metazoa; Chordata; Mammalia; Primates; Hominidae
Description: HSALNT0006127
Source: RNAcentral
CCUGCCUCUCCGCUGCUGGCUGGAACGCUGAUCUAUCUAGUUGCUGGGGAGACGCCCCCAGAUGCCCGGGCCCCACUCGGACUUCAGCACACAUCCCGAAGGAUGGGGAAAGAAAGAGGCCCCCACGAGCGGGACUCGCAGUGGCCAAGGAGGGGUGAGAGGCGGACAGGGAUCAGCUGGCCCCUGCGGCCUGGUUGCACCUGCAUGGUGACUAGCUGCCGGGCUGCGCCCCGGGGCGCGGCGAGGAGGCGGGGUC